Ixodes scapularis (black-legged tick) is the source of this 238-nucleotide non-coding RNA. The record is from Rfam. NCBI's taxonomy places the organism in Eukaryota, Metazoa, Arthropoda, Arachnida, Ixodida, Ixodidae.
CGAUUGACAGAUUGAGAGCUCUUUCUUGAUUCGGUGGAUGGUUGUGCAUCUCAAUUUUUAGUUGGUGGAGCGAUUUGUCUGGUUAAUUCCCAUAACAAACGAGUCUUUUUCCUAUUAAAUAGGUGCGUGGUUUUCUGCACUUUGCACCCUUAUAGAGACAAGCAGCUCCUAGCCGCCCGAAAAAGAGCAAGAACAGGUUUGUGAUGCCCUUACAUGUUUGGGGCUGCACGCGCACUAC